GACUAACGCUGGCGGUAUGCCUUAUACAUGCAAGUCGAACGGUAAGGCCUCUUCGGAGGUACACGAGUGGCGGACGGGUGAGUAACACGUAGGAAUAUGCCCUUAGAUGGGGACAACUCAAAGAAAUUUGAGCUAAUACCCCAUAUGUCGAAAGAUGAAAGAUUUAUCGUCUAGGGAGUAGACCUGCGUUUGAUUAGCUUGUUGGUGGGGUAAAAGCCUACCAAGGCGACGAUCAAUAGCUGGUUUGAGAGGAUGACCAGCCACAAUGGGACUGAGAUACGGCCCAU
Molecule: ribosomal RNA, 287 nt
Filed under: uncultured bacterium
Lineage: Bacteria
Description: partial 16S ribosomal RNA
Rfam family: Bacterial small subunit ribosomal RNA
Source: RNAcentral